UGGGGAUUGGUGUAGCGGUAACACAGGUGACUCUGGAUCACCGGCCACAGGUUCGACUCCUGUAUCCCCAGCCA
This 74-nucleotide transfer RNA is filed under the name Chloroflexota bacterium. RNAcentral's name for it is "Chloroflexi bacterium (aquatic metagenome) tRNA-Gln". It matches the Rfam family "tRNA". Rfam says of the family: Transfer RNA (tRNA) molecules are approximately 80 nucleotides in length. Their secondary structure includes four short double-helical elements and three loops (D, anti-codon, and T loops). The record is from RNAcentral. Lineage: Bacteria; Bacillati; Chloroflexota.